UGGACGAUUGUUCUUUAUCUGCACCCUCCGCUGCCUCGCUUGCCUUCACCUCAUUGGUUGAUGCGCACGCGCGGGUCUCUUGCCCCCUCCCCGUCCCCUUCGGGGUAGGGGUUGGAGCAGCUCCUGGCCCAGGCCCGGCAGUCGCUUGUCAUCCGUCGAGGACUUAGCUACUGGCUCUCGUUAAGCGCUGGCACAAUGAAGUCGCUCAGUUUACUGUGGCCGGGUUACCACUGACCUUUAUCUACUGGAAUAUGGCCGCGCCGCUCCCCGCGGUCGCUCCCAGGCUCAUGGCAGGGCCGGGGGGAGGCGGCGAAAGGGAGACGCGGAUGCUACCGCGGUCGCCGCUGCUGCUGCCGCUGCUGCUAGGAAUUCUCCUCAGCCGGUGCCUGGGAGAGCAGCCCGCUCGCGCCGCCGCCGCCUCUUCCUCCUCUUCCUCCUCCUCCUCCUCCUCCUUCUUGUUGCCCGGGGCAUCCGAUUCGGAGGAAACGGUGAUAAUAGGGUUACGGCUGGAGGACACGGACGACGUGUCCUUUAUGGAAAAGGGAGUGCUCCGGGUGAGCGAGAGAACUCGUGUCAAACUGCGGGUCUACGGGCAGAAUAUCAAUAACGAGACCUGGUCCCGCAUCGCAUUCACCGAGCAUGAACGGUGGAGGGAUGGGGAAGGCAGGCGGCCGCCAGCUGAACAAGAAGACGGUCCGGUCCCCGUGGGUUCCAUGUCGUCGGCCCCGCAGCGUUGCGGCAUCCGGACGUCGGACAUCAUCAUCCUCCCGCAUAUCACCCUCAACCGCCGUACCUCGGGGAUCAUCGAGAUCGAUAUCAAGCCGUUGCGCAAAACGGAGAAAAGCAAGUCGUACUACUUGUGUACCUCGGUAUCUUCCCCUGCUAUCCUAGGAGGGGCGGGGAGUGUGGCCGGGAGCCCCGGUGGUGGAGCUGGCAUUAUUGGUCCCGAUGGAGGGCCCUGGACUGAGACUACCUGGAUCUAUCAUGAUGGUGAGGACACCAAGAUGAUUGUAGGUGAGGAGAAGAAAUUCUUGUUACCCUUCUGGCUUCAGGUGAUCUUCAUCUCCCUCCUGUUGUGUCUUUCUGGCAUGUUCAGUGGUCUCAACCUGGGACUUAUGGCUCUUGAUCCUAUGGAGUUGCGUAUUGUGCAGAAUUGUGGGACAGAAAAAGAAAAAAACUAUGCUAAGCGCAUUGAGCCUGUGCGCCGCCAGGGCAACUACUUGCUCUGUUCUUUGCUCUUGGGUAAUGUAUUGGUCAAUACUACCCUUACCAUCCUGCUCGAUGACAUUGCAGGUUCUGGACUGGUGGCGGUGGUAGUAUCCACCAUUGGUAUUGUCAUUUUUGGUGAGAUUGUGCCACAGGCUAUUUGUUCCCGGCAUGGUCUGGCUGUGGGUGCCAACACCAUCUUCCUUACAAAGUUCUUUAUGAUGAUGACCUUUCCAGCCUCUUAUCCAGUCAGCAAACUGCUGGACUGUGUUUUAGGGCAAGAGAUUGGUACUGUCUAUAACCGUGAGAAGCUACUUGAAAUGUUAAGAGUCACUGAUCCUUACAAUGAUUUAGUCAAAGAAGAAUUGAAUAUAAUUCAAGGAGCGCUGGAAUUGCGCACCAAAACUGUGGAGGAUGUAAUGACUCCUCUCCGGGAUUGCUUCAUGAUUACUGCUGAAGCUGUACUUGAUUUCAACACUAUGUCUGAAAUCAUGGAGAGUGGAUAUACACGUAUCCCAGUUUUUGAAGGAGACCGCUCUAAUAUUGUGGACCUUCUUUUUGUCAAAGACUUAGCUUUUGUGGAUCCUGAUGAUUGCACUCCACUCAAGACCAUCACACGUUUCUAUAACCACCCACUGCACUUUGUCUUCAAUGACACCAAGCUUGAUGCCAUGCUUGAGGAAUUCAAAAAAGAGACUGAUAUAUUCUGAAAAGCUGCUGGUAGAGAUGGAUUUAAUUUCAAAAUGAGAGAUCCCUAAAUUUAAAUCUCAUGGGAGACCACUGGUUGCUUUGCUGAAGCAAGAUAUGCUAUACCUACUGCAUUUUUAUGGUCAAACUGGUCAUUCUAUGGUUAAAUUGGUCAUUCUAUCAAAAAACACUUGUUCAUCUGAAAUUCUUUUCAAUCAUGUAAUAAAAGUUUUGCUAUUGAUCACGUGUCUGGAUGAGAGGAGGAAGGGAAUCACAGAAUGAAGGAGUUGUCAACAUUCUAAAACUGCUGCUGGAUUGCUUCUCUCUUAGGGUAGCACUUUGGAAAUUGGGUUUUGUUUUCCCUCUGCCCCCUGGCUUGAUCUGGCCCAUUUUCAAACCUAAUCUUUCUUUUCUUGACGUCUUCUGCCACAUCAAAUUUGUUUCUGUUCAGGUCAGUUUUUGCAAAGUUAUUGUACUGAAUGACAGAAUUGUGACUCCUUUCAUAUAAUAUACUUUUGGAUGUUGAAAAUAAUAAAAAGAUUAGGUUCGUUUGGCAUGAUUUAUUUUUAAUUCCACAGUGGCUCUUGCAAAGCAAUGCAUUAUUUUCUAUAUAUUCCAAAUAAUCUAUGUAAUGUUUACAAACACAUGAAUCCUUGAAUUGUAUAAUUUAUUUGUCUUUGUAUUUAGUUAGCCAUUAUUGAACCAUCCCAUAUCCUGCAUAUCACUCCCAGGUACAUUUCUGAUUUUCGGCAUCACACUAUUUGCCAUAGUCUCUUCUCUCUCUCUGACAGGAUUCAGACUGAAGGAGUUCUGAAUGAAGUUUGUAAGGCACAUUAUGAACAUAGCUUUCCCAAUUCUUACAAGGUUUAGUCUAUCCUGACAUGUUCCAGGAGCAGAUAAAGUGAUGUACUAGAAAAUUGUCAAUGCCUCAUUAUAAGAGGGGCAAUUUCUGGUGACCUUGAAAGAAGCUGUGGUGAAUACUUCCUGAAAAGGAUUCAUUGCUAAGUGGAGAAUGUCAUCUAGUCUCCAGUCUCUCCUUGGUUGAGAAGUUAUUGGUCUGGUGAUGGUGGAACAACUUCACAGUACCCUAGAGGAAACAAAUUAUCUGGACUCUUUUUAGACAGGAUUCAGGCUUGGGCAGGGAUUGGAUUCUACUGGUUUGGACCAAUUCAGGCGAACCGGUAGCUCCAAUGAUCAGAUGGGUUCACUCUCCUGCCCGCACUAUUUUCCUACCUUUAUCUUCUCAGCUGAUUUACGUGGUAGAGCGGAUUGCUGUGCAAAUCAGCUGUGUUACUCCUCUGAAGGAACCAGGAAGUGAAGAUUUCUUCAAACUGAGCACACAAAUUGCAUGAUCACUGAACUGAUUGGGCUUGGGUUUGGAGUAGAGAUACCGUUAGUCACCCCUUAGAUGACAUUUGUCAAGGCCCAAAUGAGAUAAUGCAUCCUUCUAAUCUUGUUGAUCCUCUCAGUAGCCCUUGAUAGCAUUGACCAUGGUAUCUUAUUGGAUGUGUACAGAGAUUGGAGAUCAGAGGAGCUGAUUUACUGCAAUUCCACUUCCUCCUCAGUAGUUGUUUACAAUUUGUGGUCAUUGGUGAAGAAAGAUUGAUGGCUUCUGAGUGGGAUACUGUAGGGCCCAUUUCUCUCUCCCCUACUCUAAGCUGUGAGGAGAUGCCGUCAGUGUCCUUUCCUCAUGCCUGGAGGUUAUCAGAGUUGAGAGAAGAAAGAAGAGAAGAGAAUAAAACUGAAUCCUGGUAAUCUGGAGUUGCUGUUGAUAUAACACAGUUCUCUGUUGCCAAAAGUGUUCUUUGACAGGACGUAUUACCCAUCAGAGAGGAAGUGUACAACUUCAACACCUGAUGAAAUAGCAGUUGGAAGCUGUGAGCAGAGACGCCUCAAGUGAACUCUACUGUAUCCCAUCAGUUGUAUCCCACAGUUUCAUGCCUUUAUCAACUCUUUAGUUGGAUAACUGUAAUGCAUUGUACUUGAGGCUGCCCUUAAAAAUUAUUUGGAAACUACAAUUGGUCUAAAACAUAAUUGCCCACAUAUUUUCAGAAUUGCCUGUUCCAUUUCCAUCCAUUACCCACCCAAUAUUAAGAUCAAACAAGGAGAAACUGUUAUUGAUCCUAAAUUUUUAGAAGGUUUGGGAGGUGUCUUAAGUGAGAAAGUGCUGUUUUUUGGAGGCAAUAUUAACCCUGUACAACAGCCUCCUGGUAGAGAAUAGGCACCCUUCUUUAUUGAUGUUUUAUUAGAGACAGAGUUGUUUAGGAGAAUCAUCUGCUGAUCUGAUCAUACCAUGUUUUCACUAUUAUUUUUAUUGCUUGCAUUCCGUUAAUUCCAGGUUCUCUUGUCUCAUUCAUGUAUGGUUUGUUGCAGUAGCCCACUUAUCAUCAAAUUAUCCUGGUUCCUUAACAUCUGAGGCUUGUUAACCCGGGUCAUGUCCAAGUCAGUAUGAAUCUCUUAUUUCACAUCAUUCUCAUAUUCAAGGUUGGCAGGAAAAGCAUUGGGGGUUAGAGGAUCCUUGACCCCUAUUGCUAAGAUAGGUAUCAGCUGGUAUUCAAACACUGAAUUCCCUUGUCAAAGGGUGGUACUCUAACCACUGUGCUGUCCAGCCUGUGUCUGAGGCAGCAGCAGAUGUGGGAGGAGGUUCAAGCAGAGGAAGUGCCAUUGCAAGACAAGACUUUGCAUAGACUAUAUGCAAAUAUAGACAUGAAUUGAUAGACAUUGAGAAAUCCUAUCGGUGGCUGGAAAGGACUGGAUUGAAAGACAACAUGAGGUACUGAUCAUAACAACACAAGAACAGGCAUUAGACAGGACCCAAAGUACAAACUGUGCAGAGAGGCCUCAGAGACAGUCUAAUACCCGAUGGCAUGAUAUUAGAUGCAGGAAGAACAGCAUACAAUACACAACAUAACAAAGUAGCUAGCAUUGUGUACAGGAACACCUGCAGAAUGUAUGGGCUAGACCAUCUGUGGACUUUCCCAUCUAGACCUUCCCAAGUCCAUAUGGGAGAUUCCAUAGAUGAUCACUUAACAGAUUAAACAAAUUAACAGAAUUAGAAGGAACUUUGUAGGUCUUCUAAUCCAACUCCUCACCCAAGCAGGAGACCUUACACCAUUUCUGACAAAUGGCAGUCCAGUGUCUUCUUGAAAGGUUCCAAAACUUCUGAAGGCAAGGUGUUCCAUUGAUUGAUUGUUCCCAGUGUCAGAAAAUUUCUCCUUAUUUCUAUGUUGAAUCUCUCCUUGAUCAGUUUCCAUCCAUUAUUCCUUGUCUAGCCUUCGGGUGCUUUGGAAAAUAGUUUGACCCCUCCUCUGUAUGGCAGCCUGUCAAAUAUUGGAACACUGCUAUCAUGUCUCCCCUGGUCCUUCUCUUCAUUAGACUAGCCAUGUCGAGUACUUGCAACCGUUCAUUGUAUGUUUCAUAUUUCAUUGAAUAUUUCAUGGAGACUAACAGAGAUCCUGUGGGACUUCCAGAUCCAGACUGACAGGCAAGUACUAGACAGUCAAGCACACUUCAUAGACAAGGACCAAAAUACAGCAGUGGUGAUAAUGUAGCAUUCCCGGGUGAUGGCAACAUCAGGAAGAAGGAGUACCAGAAGCUGGAGAAGUACCAGGCCUAAAGAGAAAUUAGAGGGGAUGUGGAAACUAAAGGGCAAAGUGGUCCCAGGGGUUAUAGGAACAUUCAGGGCUGUGACUCCUAAGCUGGGAGAGUGGUUCCAACAGAUCCCAGGAACAAUAUCAGAGCUCUCUGUCUGGAAGAGUCCAGUGCUAAGAUACUGUACAUAACUUUAAAACUUCCAGGUGUCUGACAGAGGAUCUGAAAUUGAGGAAAAUAUAACACUCGUAGGGAUGAGAAGGGUUUUUAUAUUAUUAUUCUAUGUAAGCUACAAUCAAGUGUCUUUUUGAUUUUGGGAGGGGAAUUGAAUUAUGUAAAAUCAAUCAAUCAAUCAAACCUUUAUCUGGAGUUUUCCAUCUCAGGAAGAAUGAAAUAAUUAAGCCUAAUCAUAUUGACACCAUUGGCACUGCUAGUAAUUCAAUGCCGGGAUUUUUUUCUCUCUUCUUAGUCCUUUCCCUCAAUACCACUUGUGCUCCUAUCUUGAUCUUCUUGUCCAGUGGUUUGUAAUUCCUUGCAAUGUCUUCAGGGAUGUUUCUCACUGUAUUGUUUGUUCCCGUGUGGAUCAGUGGAAAGGGGCAUUUGUGUUAUUUACUAGAUAUUGAGAAACAGGUUGAAAUCUGUGUUCAUAAACCAUCAUGUUUAUACAACGCUUAUAUCAAUAUGCCAAUAUAAUAUCAGUACUAAAUUAUUCCGAAUAUUCUAAUUCACAUUUUCAACUGAAGUAUUUGCUGGCAGUGAAAAAAAUUGAGAAUAACAAAACAAGUAUUUCUGGGUCUUUUUCCCUACUUAGCCCCUCCUUCUGUACUUGUUGGAGAUAAUGCACUUGGUUUAAACUUUGCACCCAUAGAAUCAGUGUUAGUUUUGAAAUAUUGCAUGUUGCUCUGAUGUUCCUUUGACAGAUAUAAGAACAAAUUUGAUAAAUUAAACAUUUUUAACUGGUGGCUUGCUAUUUAAAUUUUCAGAAAUAUAUUAGGUGUUCUGUGAAUCUACUUCUAACAUUUAGAGAUGUUUUAUUAGUACCAAUGUGUUUCUGUUGCUAUUUUUCAUCCCCCUUUUCAAUAUUUAAUCUUUCAACUGUUCUAUAUAGGCAAGAUUUUUUUCUAUAAUGGAUAGUAAUUUGGAUUUUUUCGAAUCCUUGACUUUUUAAAAUGUUCUAUAAACGUUAUUUGCAUUGUAGAAGUAAUUGAAAAGAUAGGUUUAUGAGACAAUAAUGUUGCUUGAUCUGUACACAAUUUUUUUUUAUAAAAAGUUUUAUUUUUACAUUCAUAUCCAACAACACAUCCAAUGUACAAUCAUAUACAAUUAGUCAGGCUUGCCCAGUCACCACCCUCUCCUUUUAACUCUCUUCCCUCUUCUACCUUCUUCUACUUUCCACACCUUCCUCCCCUUCUCUUAUCUACAUCCUCUUCUCCCUCCGCCCUACACCUUCCUUCUCCCUCUUCUCCCUCUCUUUCUUUCUCUUCUCCUCUUUCCUACCUCCUACUCUCUUCUCCUUUCUCCCAUGCCACCAUUCUAAAAUGGUAGCUGGGCAGACCCGACCUUACAUUAAUUAUAUUUAUACAUCUUCAAUAAUUUAACCAUCACUCCACCCUCUACCCUCAUCCCCCCCAAUUCCCCUCCCCCUUACUCCCCACCCUCCACCCCCCAAGACUUCCUAGAACAAAAUGCGGGAUAUCAAAACUAACAAUCAUAAUCCAAAAUAAAUCUUAAAUUAUAAUCUCUAGUCACUCCACACAUCAUCACACUCUCAAUUCCCCUCUCCUUUAAAAAUAUAUCUAAUACAAAAUACUUCCUAAAUUUACUCAUAUGCUAUUCGAUAUUUUUUUAUCUGAUGCUUAUUUUAAAUAUAAUCAAUCCACAUUUUCCAUUCUAAAAUAUAUUUUUCUUGUGUAUAGUCUUUCAAAUAAGCAGAAUUUUUUGCCGUUUCUGCCAGAUUUUAUACUUUAAGUGUCCAUUCUUCAAUUGUAGGUAAUUCUUGUUUCUUCCAAUAUUGAGCAAUCAAAAGUCUUGCGGCUGUUAUUAAGUUCAAAAUCAAUUUAGUCUCUAUAGCUGUACAAUCCAUAAUUAUUCCUAGUAGAAAGAACUGCGGAGUAAACUUAAUCUUCUUUUUCAAAAUAUUCUGCAUAAUCCACCAUACUUUAGUCCAAAAUGCUUUAACUUUUUUACAAGUCCACCAUAUAUGGUAAUAACUGGCAUCUUCACAAUCACAUCUCCAACAUUUAGCCUGUACAUUAGGAUACAUGUAUGACAACUUUUUGGGGUCUAAGUGCCAUCUAUAAAACAUCUUGUAAAAAUUUUCUCUCAUAUUUUGCGAUUGUGUAAAUUUAACAUUCCUCACCCAAAUUCUUUCCCAAGUUUCCAACAUUAUUGGUUGCUGAAAAUUUUAUGCCCACUUAAUCAUACAAUUCUUAACCAAUUCAGUCUCUGAGUCUAUUUCUACUAAUACGUUAUACAGCCUCUUAAUAUGCUGUUGACCUUGAUCUCUCAUUUGUUUUAACAAAUUAUCUUCAGUUUGCUUAAUACCUAUUUUUUUAUCUAAUUUCCAUCUUACUUGUAAUUGUCCAUAUUGAAACCAUGUAUAAUUUUUCCCUUCUUCCCCCGUCUUUUCUCUGGAUUUUAAUUGUAAUUCCCCCUUUUCAAUACAAAGAAGUUCUUUAUAAGGAACUAUCUCCAUCUUUUGAUAUAUAUUUAUAUUUUCUAUCAUGUGUCUCGGGAUUGCCCAUAUUGGUAUCUUAAUUUAUAUUGAUAUUUCCUCCACACCCUCAAUAAUUAUAUUACUUUUAAAUAUCUUGUCAGCUUUCUUAUCAUAUAAUAAAUAGGCAUGCCACCCGUAUAACAAACCAUAACCUUCUAUAUUCAAAACUCUUUCCUCAGUUAAAUUAAUCCAAUCAGUAAUUAAUGAUAAGACAACUGCUUCAUAAUACAAUUUUAGAUUAGGCAUUUUAAGUCCUCCCCUUUCCCUUGUAUCCUGCAUUAUUUUUAACUUUAUUCUUGGUUUUUUGCCCAUCCAUACGAAAUUAUUAACCCCCCUUUUGCCAUUCUUGUAAUUUGGUAUUGUCCUUAAGUACCGGUAUCAUUUGAAACAAAAAUAGAAACCUGGGCAAAACAUUCAUUUUUAUAGCUGCUAUUCUUCCCAGCAAAGAUAAUUGUAACUUCUUCCAAUUCUCCAUUUCUUUCCAUACCUUCUGCCACAAUACCUCAUUAUUAUUUUUGUAUAAUUUCACAUUUGAAGCUGUAAUGUAUAUUCCUAAAUAACCUUUUUAACUAUUUCAAAACCCAUAGAUCUUUCUAACUCUUCUUUUUGUUAUAUAUUCAUAUUUUUAGUUAUCAUCUUUAUCUUUUACUGAUUCAUCUUAAAUCCAGAUACUUUACCAUACUGAUCAAUUAUUUCUUUUAAACCAGUAGCUGAAUAUAUUGGUUGAGAUACAGUAACAACCAAGUCAUCUGCAAAGGCUCUUAAUCUAUAAUCUUGAUGUUUAAUUCUAAUUCCCUUUAUUCGAUCUGAACCACGUAUUUUAUUCAAAAGAAUUUCUAAAGUUAAAAUAAAAAGUAAUGGAGACAGGGGGCAACCCUGUCUCGUCCCUUUCCCAAUUUUAAAGGUUUCUGUUAAACCACCAUUUACUAUUAUUUGUGCUGUUUGCUUCUGAUAUAUUACUUUAAUUGCAUGGAUAAAAUAAUCCCCAAAUUGCAUUUUUUCUAUUACUUUAAACAAAAACUGCCAAUCCAAUCUAUCAAAAGCUUUUUCAGCAUCCAGAAAAAAAAGUGCUGCUGAGACUUGGUUGUUUUGUUCCAAAUAUUCAAGUAAAUUUACAAUUUGCCUCACAUUAUACCUCAUCUGCCUACUCUUAAUAAAUCCUGAUUGAUCAUUAUGAAUUAUUUGAUUCAUCACUGGCAUUAAUCUAUUAGCAAGUAUCUUGGCAAAUAUCUUAUAAUCAGUAUUUAAAAGCGAUAUUGGCCUGUUAUUCUCUGCUUUAAUACCAUCUCGAUCUUCCUUCGGUAUUAAUGAAAUAAAAGCUGUCCUCUAUGAAGGGGGAACAUCCCCUCCCAUUUGAAUUUUAUUAAAUAGCUCUUUAAGUGGUUCAACCAUCUCAUUUUGUAAAUUUUUAUAAUAAACAGCUGUUAAACCAUCUGUACCUGGUGCUUUACCGACUUUAAGCUGCUUAAUUGCUAACAUAAUUUCCUCUGAAGUAAUUAAUUGAUUCAAUUCUUCCCUUUGAUUUUCUGCAAGCUCACAAAUAUCUUGUUGUUGUAAAUAUCUUUCUAUCUCUGUAUCAUCAAUCAUAUCCCUAGUAUAUAACUUUGUAUAAUACUCUAAAAAUGCUUUUUUAAUCAAAUUCUUUUGAUACACUUCUUUACCCCUAUAUUCUAUUUUAUCAAUCGUUCGUGAUUUCUGUUUUUUUCCUUAUUAAAUAGACUAGCCAUCUUCCUGGCUUGUUAGCAUUAUUGAACGUAUUAUGUUUUACAUAUUGUAAGUUAAUUGCUACUUGAUCUGCCAUCAACAUAUUAAACUGACCUCUCAAUAUAUUUAUUGAUUCUUUUACUAUUUCCUGGGCUAUUUAUCAAUAACUGUUCUUUCCUUUUAAUUUCCUCUUCCAAUUCCUUUUUCUGUUUCUGCAAUCUAUUUCUAUAUUUAAUAUUCAUUUGUAUAAGAGUUCCUCUCAUAUAAGCCUUACUAGCGUCCCAAACCAGCUCUAUAGAUGUUUCUUUUUUCAUAUUCAUAAUAAAAAAUUCUUUCAUUUGCUUUUUACAUUCAUUUACAUUUUGUUCAUAUUUAAACAAAUUCUCAUUCAGCCUCCAUGAUCUCCUAGCCUUCUUUUCCCGAUCAAAUUCAAUCCAAACCGGACUGUGAUCAGAUAGAGUUCUUGAACAAAUCUUCGUCUUCUUCACUCUAGAAUACGAAUCAUUAGAAAUCAAAAUAAUAUCAAUCCUCGAAAAUGAUUGAUGCCUAUCAGAAAAGAAGGUAAAAUCCCUCUCUUCCGUAUUAUGUUCUCUCCAAAUAUCUCUUAAUUCUAAGUCCUCCAUCAUUUCAAAAAAAGCCUUUGGUAAUUUUGCCCGGCUUGAAGUCUUCCUUAAACUUUUUUUGUCUUUUCGAGUAUCCAACACACCAUUCCAAUCACCCAUUAAUAUAUAUGAUUUAUAAUCCCAAAAUAAUAUAAUUAUUGGAUUUUUAUGUAAAAACUUGAAAAAAAAUUCUUAUUGUUGAUUCGGAGCAUAGACUCCUAUUAAUAAUGUCUUCUUUCCCUCCAACAAAAGUUCAAUAGCAAUAUAUCUUCCUUGAUUAUCCACCUCAAUUAAUUUUGCUGAUAUAUCCUUCUUUAUAUAUAUGACUAAACCAUUCUUUUUUUCCAAAGGGGAGGCAACAAAAUGUACUCCCAAUUUUGAAUUUAUCAAAUAUUUCUGAUCUAAAGAUCUAAUAUGUGUUUCUUGUAAACAGAUAAUACCAUUUUUAAAUUGUUUCAGAUAAUGAAAUACUUUCCUUCUCUUCUGUGGUGAAUUCAGACUGUUAACAUUCCAAGAUAAUAGUUUAAUUGCCAUUAUCGGCAAAAGGAAACUUUUGGAACACCAGCCGCAGAUCACAUUUUUCUUUAGGCCUUGCUCCUCCCACUGUUUCCAUUGUAAUAGUUGCCAAUUGUUGUUGUGCCUUUACAUCUUGUUCCUUGCGUUUAGCAGCAGCUCUUGUCAACCUUUGUUCCUUUGGAUCUGAACCCGUCGUAGGUAUUUCCAACACUUGUAAUAAAUCUUCUUCCAUCACGAUCUGUUCUUGUACCUGCUUCACUUCUCUUUCCUUCACUUCACCCUCCCUUCUUCUAGCUUCCAAUCGGGGAAGACUUCCAGCUUUUAAUGCCUCAACAUAAAAUUCUCUUGCUUUUCCAACUGUAUUGAGACGAUGUGCUUUCCCUGCGUAAUAUACUAUUAUACCAAUUGGAAUAUCCCAUCUAGAUUGGGCCCAUCUAGAUUGGGCCUCUGGUGGCUCAACAGGCUAAUGCAGCCUGUUAUUAACAGCAACUGCCUGCAAUAUUGCAGGUUCAAGUCCCACCAGGCCCAAGGUUGACUCAGCCUUCCAUCCUUUAUAAGGUAGGUAAAAUGAGGACCCAAAUUGUUGGGGGGCAAUAAGUUGACUUUGUAUAUAGUAUACAAAUGGAUGAAGACUAUUGCCUGACAUAGUGUAAGCCGCCCUGAGUCUUCGGAGAAGGGCGGGAUAUAAAUGCAAAUAAAAAAAAAAUAUUCAAUCUGAUGUUUUUUAAGUUCAUUCACCAGGAAGGCAAAUUCCUUCCUAGCCCUUAACAUUUUUGGUGGAAUUUCCUUUAAUGUUAAGAUAUCUUGACCAGCAACUUGAAUCUUCUCCCCCUUUAUAUGAAGCUUGCAGAAUCUGAUUUCUCACUGUUCUGAUUGUAAAAUAAAUAACAACAUCCCUUGGCAACUUUUUUUGCCUUGCUAUCCAAGAGUUCACACGAUAUAUUUUAUCAAUUUGAUAAGCCACAUGUGCUGGACGAGCUGUUAAUAUCUCAGCAAAUGCUUCAGAAAAAAUUUCCUUUAAGUUCUCUUGUUUAUUUUCCUUUAAGCCACAGAUUAUUAAAGCAAAUUCCAUAUUUCUAUAUUGUAUCAAAACUAUUUCAUCAUCUGUUUUUUCCAUUUUACUUUGAAAUUCAUCCAUUUUAUUUUCUAAUUUUGAAUUAAAUUGCUUAAUUUCUUCAACUUCCUCUUCUAAUAAAAUCACAUUUGUUGCCAAACUUUGUACUGCAAUCACAAAUCCUUCCUUAACUUCUUUAUUUCCCACUUGAAUUUCUAACAUCUGCUCUUUCAUUUCAGACAUCUCAUCAGUUAUUACUUUAACUUUUUCUUGUAUAAAAUCCUUCAAAUUAUCCUGUAACGCCUCCAAAUUCAAUGUUUUAGUAUCUGCUGUAUGGGCUGGAGAGGCGCCAGCUGAAGAAAUUCCAGAGCUCUUUGUUACAGUUGUCUUUAAUUAUUUGGCUGCCAUUUUCUAUAAAGUUUUUUUUUUUCAACUUAAUAUUCACUUUAAAUCUUCUUAACCUCCUGAAAACACAAUCUUUUUUAACAAUAUUUAAAAAUCUCCCAUAGAUUCUAUCAGCAGGUAGCAAGAAGUAAAAGUACGAAACAGCAUGCAAUUUACCAGCGGCAGACGGCAAGCACUAAAAGUUCUGUCACUUUCGCUUUCCACUCGUUAACUUGUUAACAACUCGCCACCAUUUUUUUGCUAUUUUCAAGCUUAAUACAAAAUAACGGGGAAUUGGCUUAGCUACUUGCAUGAAGUUCUCCCACUUUUGCUCUGUCCGGUAUAAUCCUUUAUUGUCCAAAAUAGAUCUCAGAGUUUGGUUGUGGUCAUUGAAUCCGCCAAGGCAGAAAAAUCCUCGGAUCUGGAGCACUUCAGGUUGCUGGAGGGAACUUAACCCUUCAAACCUCUUUUUUCUCAGGGGUUUUAGGGAAGUUCUACCUCUACCCUGCAGCUCACCUCCUCUUCUUUUCCCGAAGAGGGGUUUUUUCAACUGUUGGACAGCAGAUUUACGCUGUCCUAGCGAUUCCACAUAAUCCAGAGGUUGGCAAUCGUAAAGAUCGGCGCCAUCACCUACGGUGCCAAAUCGGAAGCCCCACAAUUUGGAUGGAUGUUGAACAUGUACACUUGUAAAAAAGAAUUGGAUAUGAAGUGAGAAAAAUGUAUUAGAAAUGAUGAAUUUCCUAUAUUGAUAUUGAUAUUGUUUCCCGAUUGCUUAUUUGUACCCUAUGACUAUCAUUAAGUGUUGUACCCUAUGAUUCUUGAUGAACAUAUCUUUUCUUUUAUGUACACUGAGAGCAUAUGUGCCAAGACAAAUUCCUUGUGUGUCCAAUUACACUUGG
RNA transcript from Ahaetulla prasina, 13359 nucleotides. It is a transcript of the gene named cyclin and CBS domain divalent metal cation transport mediator 2, with no coding region annotated. The transcript has 3 exons. Lineage: Eukaryota; Metazoa; Chordata; Lepidosauria; Squamata; Colubridae. The record is from RefSeq and is a predicted model, not a curated record.